GGACUCCACUGCUAUCGGGGUAAGGCUAAGCCAUGCAAGUCGAAGGCCUCCGGCUCCGGGGGCCUGGCGUACGGCUGAGUAACGCGUGGCCAACCUGCCCUGCGGAGGGGGAUAACCCCGGGAAACUGGGGAUAAACCCCCAUAGGUGACCGGCUCUGGAAAGACCGGUCGCCGAAAGUCCCGGUCGGGGACGCUCCGGCCGGGAGCCGCAGGAUGGGGCUGCGUCCUAUCAGGUAGUUGGUGGGGUAACGGCCCACCAAGCCUGUGACGGGUAGGGGCCCUGAGAGGGGGAGCCCCCAGAUGGACUCUGAGACAAGAGUCCAGGCCCUACGGGGCGCAGCAGGCGCGAAACCUCCGCAAUGGGCGAAAGCCCGACGGGGUUACCCCGAGUGCCACCCUCGUGGUGGCUUUUGCCCGCUCUAAAAAGGCGGGCGAAUAAGGGGAGGGCAAGUCGGGUGUCAGCCGCCGCGGUAAUACCCGCUCCCCGAGUGGUGGAGGCUAUUACUGGGCCUAAAGCGCCCGUAGCCGGCCCGGUGUGUCCCUCGUUAAAUCCACGGGCUUAACCCGUGGGCUGCGGGGGAUACUACCGGGCUUGGGGGUGGGAGAGGCGCCCGGUAUUCCCGGGGUAGGGGUAAAAUCCUCUGAUCCCGGGAGGACCAUCAGUGGCGAAGGCGGGCGCCAGACACGCCCGACGGUGAGGGGCGAAAGCUGGGGG
This 715-nucleotide ribosomal RNA is filed under the name uncultured crenarchaeote. RNAcentral describes it as "bacterial SSU rRNA". It matches the Rfam family "Archaeal small subunit ribosomal RNA", at positions 19 to 717 of the family's 1478-position model. The record is from RNAcentral. Lineage: Archaea; Thermoproteati; Thermoproteota.